This 496-nucleotide ribosomal RNA is filed under the name uncultured bacterium. RNAcentral's name for it is "partial 16S ribosomal RNA". It matches the Rfam family "Bacterial small subunit ribosomal RNA", at positions 28 to 507 of the family's 1533-position model. The record is from RNAcentral.
GAUGAACGCUGGCGGCGUGCCUAAUACAUGCAAGUCGAGCGAACGGACGAGAAGCUUGCUUCUCUGAUGUUGCGGCGGACGGGGGAGUAACACGUGGAUAACCCACCUAUAAGAAUGGGAUAACCUUGGGAAACCGUAGCUAAUACCGGAAAAUAUUUUGAACCGCAUGGUUUAAAAGUGAAAGACGGUCUUGCCGUCCCUUAUUGAUGGAUCCGCGCUGCAUUAGCUAGUUGGUAAGGUAACGGCUUACCAAGGCAACGAUGCAUAGCCGACCUGAGAGGGUGAUCGGCCACACUGGAACUGAGACACGGUCCAGACUCCUACGGGAGGCAGCAGUAGGGAAUCUUCCGCAAUGGGCGAAAGCCUGAUGGAGCAACGCCGCGUGAGUGAUGAAGGUCUUCGGAUCGUAAAACUCUGUUAUUAGGGAAGAACAUAUGUGUAAGUAACUGUGCACAUCUUGACGGUACCUAAUCAGAAAGCCACGGCUAACUACGUG